This is a long non-coding RNA of Mizuhopecten yessoensis (Yesso scallop), 793 nucleotides long. RefSeq lists it as uncharacterized. The record is from RefSeq and is a predicted model, not a curated record. The transcript has 2 exons. NCBI's taxonomy places the organism in Eukaryota, Metazoa, Mollusca, Bivalvia, Pectinida, Pectinidae.
UCCCCUUGCUAUUUAUAGAAAUACACACUUAAUACGCAGUGAAGGAGGUUGUUAAUAUUCCCAUAAAAAUCUUGGAUUAUUUGUUAAAGUAUUCACCGGAAUGAAAGAAUAACGCAAUUCGAGUUUCUGUAACCAAAGACAUUGCAUGAACGAAGAGGACAGCUCAAUUCAAAGAAAGCAAAUGGCGGAAGGUCUCUUAGAAUCGCGACGUCAUGACAUAAUGAUGUGUUUAGAGAACUUAAAGCAUGCAUGUCAGUGCACGGACGACGCAUGUCCAGUACGUCAAUGUCACAAGAUGAAAAGGAUCAUAUCCCAUGCCAACUGUUGUAGGGAACGGAACAACGUUGUGUGUCGUGUCUGUUUGCAGUUGAUCAUUUUGUGUUUGUUCCAUGCAAAACAUUGUACUCACAGAGAGUGUAAAAUGCUUUUCUGUUCGCGAAUUAAAUUCAAACUCAAACAGUCUCGAUUAAGAUCGGUAAGAAGGAGUAGAUCUUCGUUAUACAGGAAUAGGUCGACCGCAUCAGUGCUGCAGAUGUCGUCCUCUAACACACCAAUUAUACAGCAGGCGCUGGAGGCUACCCUUCUGGCAUGGAAACCGGAUCAACGACGGCAGACAGAAGAGAUGGCAGACACGUAACUACUUCAAGACAAACAUCCUGAAAGGUGCAUAAUUCGCAAAGGAAACGGGAGUAAACAACAAAAACAAAGCAAAUGGAAGCAAACCGGUAACAAACGGACGCAGAAUCUAACACAAAAUACUGUGCUACCCCAUAAUCCAACGGUUUGACAGUAA